GAAUUUAUUCAUUGGUCAGGCUUAACUGUCUGUACUGGUGUGUUGAAUUCCUACCUUCUGAGGAAUCUCCAUGUCAUUCACUUGGUGUGGUGGGGAAUCAGGACUGUUACUUUGAAAAAUUAGAGUGUUUAAAGCAGGCUAACGUCUGAAUACAUUAGCAUGGAAUAAUAAAAUAGGACGGCUUGGUUCUAUUUUGUUGGUUUCUAGGAUCACCGUAAUG
RNAcentral lists this ribosomal RNA (220 nucleotides) under uncultured fungus. RNAcentral describes it as "partial 18S ribosomal RNA". It matches the Rfam family "Eukaryotic small subunit ribosomal RNA", at positions 632 to 867 of the family's 1831-position model. Lineage: Eukaryota; Fungi. The record is from RNAcentral.